UAAGCCGAAGUAGUAAAAAAUUGUUUGUGACGUGAAGUUGUAAAGUUUCAUAAGACGAAAUGUAUGUUGCUGUAUUAAUAACGGAGGUUAUCUCAGUGAAGACAGCUAAGCUAAGUUUCUGUGUUGAAGAACAUAAGUUCAGUAGAACAUAGCAGCCUUAGUGUGAUGCAAGUCGGAUUUAUGAAUGUUGCUUUGUAUUUUCAGAAAAAGGAAAGUGAAGAAAAUGUACAACCACCGCAUGUCAUCACUCGAGUGUGCAACACAGGCCCUGAACUUGAGAUGAAUAACGUUUCUCCAUUUCUCUUAAAUUAUUGUCACCUUCCCAAAAAUAAUGGCAUAAGUCAUUUUUGCCUAAAACAUCUUUUGAAAAAGGGCUGAAGAUUCCCCCCCCAAAAAAUCACAUUUGGCGAAAGAAGGACUGGCUGUUGAUUUAGGAAGGUGAAGUUAUGAUGAAAUAAUUUAAUAAGUCAGUUGCUGAGGGACAGAUUAUUAUAUCCCUGUUGAGUUUUCCUUCAGUUUGGAUUCUGACCCGUUGUAGAAGGAGUGUUUAAAAACACAGCAUACCCGGGCCGGUAUGGAUGCAGGUUUGCUGCACUGUAACUUUGACCAGAAAAGGAUGAAACAUCACAUCCAUCGCUGUUUAUCUCAGUUUCCAUAAAUCAGCACAAACUGCGGAUGUUUUUGUGGAAUUGGGAACACGACGCACAGGGAUAAACACAACGCCGCAGCGCCGCUUAGAUCCGUGGCCCUCAGCAGACUGUUUGGAGAUCUGAGUCAUCCCAGCAACACACUCCUGCGUUUUCCCGAACCGCACAAGCCCGGCAGAUGUCCAUAAAACCAACGCCAAGUCCGUCUUCAGUGAUCCAGCUUUUUGUCUUUUUUUCUCUCUGUGUGUCUUGGAUGCACAUAUACGUUCAUAAUUCCUGACUGCGCAUGAGUGGACUUAGAUUGAGCCGUCUCACUCAGAUGGGACUGUGUUUCUGGGAAAGUCCAGAACAGAGCAGUUGAUCAGUCUCCUGUGGUCUUUGCGUCAUAAACAGAAACGGUUCCUGGUCCAAGCGAGAGUUCAACAGGCUGAGGACAUUUCCACCGAGACCUUCGUUCAUUUCUCCUGUUUAAUCCGGUUGGUGUUUAUCAUGACUCAUGUUGUACUUCAGUGACUCGCGUUGAUGAUGAUUUAAAGUCAAGUCUCAAGGUUCGGUAUAAGGAGCUUUUCUCCAGCUCCAUAGCAACAAAAUGCUGUCUCUUGUCAGGGUUUUAACAAAAUUAUGGAUUUGUAUGGUAAGCUGUCAAAUAGUUGGAUCUAGCACGAAAAAAAAAAUCAAAAUCUGGACAUUAAGAAACUUUGUUCUUUUAUUUUCCACGAAAAGCUUCGAAUUGAAUUAAAAUAGAAGAUUUUCUCUUCUUUUCCCAAACCCUGUGCACAAUUUUCUGUUGCAGCAGAAUCGUGUGUAAGCCAACAAAGCAUCCAACAAACUGUGAGCCAAAGGGAACAUGUUAUGCUCGGCUAACCUAAAAGCACUGGAAGAGGCUGAACUGCUGGCAGAACCUGCAGAUGGUAAACGGUUCCUCAUGUCGCUAAUGAACCCUGAUGGAUUUAUUAACUCCAAAGAACAAUCUAAGGUUAUUUUUUAAUUAUUAUUCAUCAAAAAAAUAUGUCAUUUACGACCAUUAAAAUGUUUGAAAUAGUCCCAUGUGUUAACUAAUAAAAUUCAUAUGGGGAACUUGUGCAAGUCUCACUGAUCGAA
Molecule: non-coding RNA, 1748 nt
Organism: Poecilia reticulata (guppy)
Lineage: Eukaryota; Metazoa; Chordata; Actinopteri; Cyprinodontiformes; Poeciliidae
Source: RefSeq, a predicted model, not a curated record